This 410-nucleotide ribosomal RNA is filed under the name Gobio gobio (gudgeon). Its description in RNAcentral is "partial 16S ribosomal RNA". It matches the Rfam family "Bacterial large subunit ribosomal RNA", at positions 847 to 1399 of the family's 2925-position model. The record is from RNAcentral. Lineage: Eukaryota; Metazoa; Chordata; Actinopteri; Cypriniformes; Gobionidae.
AGCUGGUUGCCUAAGAAAUGGAUAGAAGUUCAGCCCCGUGCCCCCCCCCCAAACCAAAACACAUCUAAUUAAGGUAGUUUUCAAGGGAUACACACGGGAGUUAGUUAGAGGGGGUACAGCCCGUCUAACAAAGGAUACAACCUUAUUUAAGGAGGAUAAAGAUCACAAUACUUAAAACAUACUGUUUUAGUGGGCCUAAAAGCAGCCAUCUAAACAGAAAGCGUUAAAGCUCAGACAGAGCAAAGUUUAUUAUACUGAUAAAAAAUCUUAUUCCCCUAGUGAUAUUAGGCUACCCCAUGCCCACAUGGGAGAAAUUAUGCUAAAAUGAGUAACAAGAAGACCUGUUCUUCUCCAAGCACAAGUGUAAACCAGAUCGGACAAGCCGCUGGAGAAUAACGAACCCAACCAAA